UCCCUGGUGGUCCUAUGGUUAGGACUUGGUGCUUUCACUGCUGCAGUCUGGGUUCAAUUCCUGGUCAGGAAA
This 72-nucleotide transfer RNA is filed under the name Bos taurus (domestic cattle). It matches the Rfam family "tRNA". From Rfam's summary of the family: Transfer RNA (tRNA) molecules are approximately 80 nucleotides in length. Their secondary structure includes four short double-helical elements and three loops (D, anti-codon, and T loops). Further hydrogen bonds mediate the characteristic L-shaped molecular structure. tRNAs have two regions of fundamental functional importance: the anti-codon, which is responsible for specific mRNA codon recognition, and the 3' end, to which the tRNAs corresponding amino acid is attached (by aminoacyl-tRNA synthetases). tRNAs cope with the degeneracy of the genetic code in two manners: having more than one tRNA (with a specific anti-codon) for a particular amino acid; and 'wobble' base-pairing, i.e. permitting non-standard base-pairing at the 3rd anti-codon position. RNAcentral also lists the same sequence under 4 other names. Lineage: Eukaryota; Metazoa; Chordata; Mammalia; Artiodactyla; Bovidae. The record is from Rfam by way of RNAcentral.